CCUUGAAGAGAUCAAUGGGAAUGGUCUCAAAGUCGACCUCUUUCUCAACAAGACACACCAGCACACGCUUCGGGGAAGCAUAGGCAGCGCCAUACACCUUUACCACCAUUCUUACUGUUUCAGCGAGAAACCAAGUAUUUAGAUCUCGGUCUGCAGAGUACCCUAGAUUUUGGUUUCUUAGUUCUUAUAGUAGUUAAGGUGUGAUAUGCUCAUGCUUUAAGGUGUGAUAUGCUCAUGCCUAGUGGUCCAAUAAUUGCCCUCUGCACUCCAAAACAGAUAAACUCAUAAGAUUUUUUGCGCACUCAGAUUUUUUGUUCUUUUCUUUUUUGAAGGCUGUGAGUAGCUAGUGAGUAGUAGGUAGGCGGUCACAUGAAGAUAAUUCUUUAACAGGUAAAAGACAAUUAUGAGUGGAUACUGCUUGUCCCCUCCGAAAUGAGAUAAUUCAUUAAAAACACAAAACAAAAACAAAAAUUAUACACACAUCACAUUAUACACGCGUCACAUUAUUGACAAGAAUAUAUAGACUCU
RNAcentral lists this long non-coding RNA (528 nucleotides) under Prunus persica (peach). RNAcentral's name for it is "long non-coding RNA (PPER_LNC003767)". The record is from RNAcentral. Lineage: Eukaryota; Viridiplantae; Streptophyta; Magnoliopsida; Rosales; Rosaceae.